ACUCCUACGGGAGGCAGCAGUGGGGAAUAUUGCACAAUGGGGGGAACCCUGAUGCAGCGACGCCGCGUGCGGGAUGAAGGCCUUCGGGUUGUAAACCGCUUUCAGCAGGGGCGAAUUUGACGGUACCUGCAGAAGAAGCGCCGGCUAACUACGUGCCAGCAGCCGCGGUAAUACGUAGGGCGCGAGCGUUGUCCGGAAUUAUUGGGCGUAAAGAGCUCGUAGGCGGCCUGUUGCGUCCGCUGUGAAAUCCCAGGGCUCAACCCUGGGCGUGCAGUGGAUACGGGCAGGCUGGAGGCAGGCAGGGGAGAACGGAAUUCCCGGUGUAGCGGUGAAAUGCGCAGAUAUCGGGAGGAACACCGGUGGCGAAGGCGGUUCUCUGGGCCUGUUCUGACGCUGAGGAGCGAAAGCGUGGGGAGCAAACAGGAUUAGAUACCCUGGUAGUCCACGCCGUAAACGUUGGGCGCUAGGUGUGGGUCCCUUCCACGGGGUCUGUGCCGCAGCUAACGCAUUAAGCGCCCCGCCUGGGGAGUACGGCCGCAAGGCUAAAACUCAAAGAAAUUGACGGGGGCCCGCACAAGCGGCGGAGCAUGUUGCUUAAUUCGACGCAACGCGAAGAACCUUACCAAGGUUUGACAUGGCCGGAAAACUCGCAGAGAUGCGGGGUCCUUCGGGGCCGGUCACAGGUGGUGCAUGGCUGUCGUCAGCUCGUGUCGUGGGAUGUUGGGUUAAGUCCCGCAACGAGCGCAACCCUCGUCCCAUGUUGCCAGCGGGUAAUGCCGGGGACUCAUGGGAGACUGCCGGGGUCAACUCGGA
This 813-nucleotide ribosomal RNA is filed under the name uncultured Actinomycetes bacterium. Its description in RNAcentral is "bacterial SSU rRNA". It matches the Rfam family "Bacterial small subunit ribosomal RNA", at positions 335 to 1167 of the family's 1533-position model. The record is from RNAcentral. Lineage: Bacteria; Bacillati; Actinomycetota; Actinomycetes.